GAGCUUCCUGUGCUUGUUCAUCCUCUGGUGUGACUGUUGAGUUUGUGAGUCUCAGACUAAGAAGAUUAGCAUAUGUAACACAUACCAUCUGAAGCCAUGACUUGUUCAUUAAUGGAGCACGUGAACACAUCAGAAAGGCGCAACGCCUGGACACGCCUAUGCCAUGUGGUCAAUACAAUAGAUGAAGAGGACACUUUGUCUCUUAAUAUGCCAGAAUUUACUUUCCAAGACCUGGAUGAUGCUUUUCUGAAUGAGGGACUUUCCAUGGAUAUGAUACAAGGGUGGCUUCAAGGCUG
Molecule: long non-coding RNA, 296 nt
Organism: Nanorana parkeri
Lineage: Eukaryota; Metazoa; Chordata; Amphibia; Anura; Dicroglossidae
Exons: 3
Source: RefSeq, a predicted model, not a curated record